Long non-coding RNA from Juglans microcarpa x Juglans regia, 629 nucleotides. RefSeq lists it as uncharacterized. The transcript has 2 exons. NCBI's taxonomy places the organism in Eukaryota, Viridiplantae, Streptophyta, Magnoliopsida, Fagales, Juglandaceae. The record is from RefSeq and is a predicted model, not a curated record.
AAACCAACUCUAUUUUCCACCAACCAGCAAGAAAGGUUUAUUCUCAAGGUAUAUGCCUUUUCUCAAGGUAUAUGCCUUUUAGCCUUUUAGGUCAUCUUUGAGAUUUUUGUAGUUUUGUGGUAAAAUAGGGCUUUCAUGGUAUUGAUUGGCCACCAAAUACAUAUGCUCUUCUUCUUGUCUUAGACUAAUGGCAGACACCCUUCUCAAACUGUUACUUCAACUACUCUCUACUUUUCCCCAUAGCUCAAGGCCGGGGGUAACAUUUGUUGUGCAGCCAUGGAUAUGUUUGUUGAUGGUCAUCUAAUCGAUAUCUUAAUGUUUGGCAUGAACAUAUGACAUAAUGGUUAGAUGCCCAUCAACGAACACAUCCAUGAUAUAUUGCGUUCCUCUCCUCCUCACACACUCCUCUUUUGCUCCUCAAAACUCUUUUCCUUGACUGGUGUCUGUUGUUCAGGAAGCAUUCGAAGCCACUUGUUGGGAAGCCGAAUCCCCACCGUGUGCACAAAGACUUCUGGGGUCAAUCAUUUCAAAGCGUGGAUGUUUCGUCUUUACAGUGUCCGUUUUCACAAUCUUUCAGAGGUGGUGACCGAGGCUGUGCUUGAAAUCAACUCUGCUCUUUUAAGAUCCAU